GACUCAACACGGGGAAACUCACCAGGUCCAGACAUAACUAGGAUUGACAGAUUGAUAGCUCUUUCUUGAUUUUAUGGGUGGUGGUGCAUGGCCGUUCUUAGUUGGUGGAGUGAUUUGUCUGGUUAAUUCCGAUAACGAACGAGACCUUAACCUGCUAAAUAGCCAGACCGUCUUUUGAUGGUUGCGGGCUUCUUAGAGGGACUGUCAGGAUCUACCUGACGGAAGUUUGAGGCAAUAACAGGUCUGUGAUGCCCUUAGAUGUUCUGGGCCGCACGCGCGCUACACUGACAAAGCCAGCGAGUUUAUCACCUUGGCCGGAAGGUCCGGGUAAUCUUGUGAAACUUUGUCGUGCUGGGGAUAGAGCAUUGCAAUUAUUGCUCUUCAACGAGGAAUGCCUAGUAAGCGCAAGUCAUCAGCUUGCGUUGAUUACGUCCCUGCCCUUUGUACACACCGCCCGUCGCUACUACCGAUUGAAUGGCUUAGUGAGGUCUUCGGAUCGACUUUGAGGCCCCGGCAACGGGAUCUCGUUGUUGAGAAGUUGAUCAAACUUGGUCAUUUAGAGGAAGUAAAAGUCGUAACAAGGUUUCCGUAGGUGAACCUGCGGAAGGAUCAUUAACGAAUUACAAAGUCGGCCUUGCUGUUGCUGGUGGAAACACAUGUGCACGCUCGGUCGCAAAUCCACACACCUGUGCAUCUAUGACCCGAGGUUGUCGUCGUAUGACCGAGGGUAAAAUUUACACACUCUUGAAUGUAAUGGAAUGUCUCUUGUGCAUAAUGUACAAUUAAACAACUUUCAACAACGGAUCUCUUGGCUCUCGCAUCGAUGAAGAACGCAGCGAAAUGCGAUAAGUAAUGUGAAUUGCAGAAUUCAGUGAAUCAUCGAAUCUUUGAACGCACCUUGCACCCUUUGGUAUUCCGAAGGGUACGCCCGUUUGAGCGUCAUUGUAAUCUCACUUCUACCACUUUGUUGUUGUAGAAUGUGGACUUGGACGUCUGCCGUGUCACAACGGCUCGUCUUAAAUGCCUGAGUGUACCCCGCUUUGCGGCGUAUUCGGUGUGAUAAACAUUUCACCGGAGUUUGGUCUCUGACCGCGCUUUUAGCAAUUGGUGGGCUCUAUGCUUUCUAACCGUCUUUAUAAGACAAUCUUUGACAAUUUGACCUCAAAUCGGGCGGGACUACCCGCUGAACUUAAGCAUAUCAAUAAGCGGAGGAAAAGAAACUAACAAGGAUUCCCCUAGUAACGGCGAGUGAAGAGGGAAAAGCUCAAAUUUUGAAUCUGGUGUCUUUGACUCCCGAGUUGUAAUCUAGAGAAGUGUUUUCCGUGUCGGACCGUGUACAAGUUCCCUGGAACGGGGCGUCAUAGAGGGUGAGAAUCCCGUAUAUGCCACGGACUACCGAUGCUCUGUGAUACACUCUCAACGAGUCGAGUUGUUUGGGAAUGCAGCUCAAAAUGGGUGGUAAAUUCCAUCUAAAGCUAAAUAUUGGCGAGAGACCGAUAGCGAACAAGUACCGUGAGGGAAAGAUGAAAAGCACUUUGGAAAGAGAGUGAAACAGUACGUGAAAUUGUUGAAAGGGAAGCGUUUGAAGUCAGUCGCAUCUGUUGGGAUUCAGCCUGGCUUCUGCCUGGUGUAUUUCCUUUCCGAUGGGUCAGCAUCAGUUUCGACCAAGGGAAAAAGACACUUGGAAUGUGGCUGUCUUCGGGCAGUGUUAUAGCCUUGUGUUGUAUGUCUUGGUUGGGACUGAGGAACGCAGCGCGCCAUUUUGGCCGGGGGUCGCUCCUCUCGACACGCGCUUAGGAUGCUGGCAUAAUGGCUUUAAGCGGCCCGUCUUGAAACACGGACCAAGGAGUCUAACAUGUGCGCGAGUGUUUGGGUGUUAAACCCGAGCGCGAAAUGAAAGUGAAAGGUCGGGAACAUUCAUUUGUGCACCGACGCCCGGAGCAGACCUUCUGUGACGCAUCCGCGGUAGAGCGUAUAUGUUGGGACCCGAAAGAUGGUGAACUAUGCCUGAAUAGGGUGAAGCCAGAGGAAACUCUGGUGGAGGCUCGUAGCGAUUCUGACGCGCAAAUCGAUCGUCAAAUUUGGGUAUAGGGGCGAAAGACUAAUCGAACCAUCUAGUAGCUGGUUCCUGCCGAAGUUUCCCUCAGGAUAGCAGAAACUCGUAUCAGCCUUGUGCGGUAAAGCGAAUGAUUAGAGGCCUUGGGGUUGAAACAACCUUAACCUAUUCUCAAACUCUAAAUGUGCAAGACAGAGUUGUCACUUGAUUGGACUUCUCUCUGGGUGAGAGUUUCUAGUGGG
This 2298-nucleotide ribosomal RNA is filed under the name Serendipita vermifera. RNAcentral's name for it is "eukaryotic LSU rRNA". The stretch from base 1157 to 2298 matches the Rfam family "Eukaryotic large subunit ribosomal RNA", at positions 1 to 1130 of the family's 3401-position model. Lineage: Eukaryota; Fungi; Basidiomycota; Agaricomycetes; Sebacinales; Serendipitaceae. The record is from RNAcentral.